AGCAGUGUGUCUGGUGUUGUUAAUUGCUCCUGCAACUACACAAGUCAGUGGCAGAACUCCCAUUGAAUCCAAUCAUGCAGGAUCAGAUCCUUGUUGGAUAGUUACCUGGCAGGUGGAUCAGAAACAGAAUUGGAGCUAUUUUAUCUGGACCUAAUUAAACAACCUUCAUUACUGGCAGACACUUCUGCAUUUUCAGAAGUCUGAAGAGUGAGAUACUAUGGAAGAGGCUGUGCAUUAGAGUAUUUGUGGUUGGCUGGAAGCAGGAAAUACAUUACCAGAAAUUUUGCAGGAAAACCUGUUCUCACAAGAUAUCCAGCUAGAUAUCUAUUGUUGUACAG
Molecule: long non-coding RNA, 338 nt
Filed under: Chrysemys picta bellii (western painted turtle)
Lineage: Eukaryota; Metazoa; Chordata; Testudines; Emydidae
Description: lncRNA (ENSCPBG00000015665.1)
Source: RNAcentral